GGCGUGCUAAUCUGCGAUAAGCGCCGGUAAGGUGAUAUGAACCGUUAUAACCGGCGAUACCCGAAUGGGGAAACCCAGUGUGACUCGUCACACUAUCAUUAACUGAAUCCAUAGGUUAAUGAGGCGAACCGGGGGAACUGAAACAUCUAAGUACCCCGAGGAAAAGAAAUCAACCGAGAUUCCCCCAGUAGCGGCGAGCGAACGGGGAGGAGCCCAGAGCCUGAAUCAGCAUGUGUGUUAGUGGAAGCGUCUGGAAAGGCGCGCGAUACAGGGUGACAGCCCCGUACACAAAAGCGCAUGUGCUGUGAGCUCGAUGAGUAGGGCGGGACACGUGGUAUCCUGUCUGAAUAUGGGGGGACCAUCCUCCAAGGCUAAAUACUCCUGACUGACCGAUAGUGAACCAGUACCGUGAGGGAAAGGCGAAAAGAACCCCGGCGAGGGGAGUGAAAAAGAACCUGAAACCGUGUACGUACAAGCAGUGGGAGCACAGGUUUACCUGUGUGACUGCGUACCUUUUGUAUAAUGGGUCAGCGACUUAUAUUCUGUAGCAAGGUUAACCGUAUAGGGGAGCCGUAGGGAAACCGAGUCUUAACCGGGCGUUAAGUUGCAGGGUAUAGACCCGAAACCCGGUGAUCUAGCCAUGGGCAGGUUGAAGGUUGGGUAACACUAACUGGAGGACCGAACCGACUAAUGUUGAAAAAUUAGCGGAUGACCUGUGGCUGGGGGUGAAAGGCCAAUCAAACCGGGAGAUAGCUGGUUCUCCCCGAAAGCUAUUUAGGUAGCGCCUCGUGAAUUCAUCUCCGGGGGUAGAGCACUGUUUCGGCUAGGGGGCCAUCCCGGCUUACCAACCCGAUGCAAACUGCGAAUACCGGAGAAUGUUAUCACGGGAGACACACGGCGGGUGCUAACGUCCGUCGUGAAGAGGGAAACAACCCAGACCGCCAGCUAAGGUCCCAAAGUCAUGGUUAAGUGGGAAACGAUGUGGGAAGGCCCAGACAGCCAGGAUGUUGGCUUAGAAGCAGCCAUCAUUUAAAGAAAGCGUAAUAGCUCACUGGUCGAGUCGGCCUGCGCGGAAGAUGUAACGGGGCUAAACCAU
RNAcentral lists this ribosomal RNA (1096 nucleotides) under Salmonella enterica. RNAcentral describes it as "partial 23S ribosomal RNA". It matches the Rfam family "Bacterial large subunit ribosomal RNA", at positions 55 to 1190 of the family's 2925-position model. Lineage: Bacteria; Pseudomonadati; Pseudomonadota; Gammaproteobacteria; Enterobacterales; Enterobacteriaceae. The record is from RNAcentral.